UGGGGAAUAUUGCACAAUGGGCGCAAGCCUGAUGCAGCAACGCCGCGUGAGGGACGACGGCCUUCGGGUUGUAAACCUCUUUUAGUAGGGAAGAAGCGAAAGUGACGGUACCUGCAGAAAAAGCACCGGCUAACUACGUGCCAGCAGCCGCGGUAAUACGUAGGGUGCAAGCGUUGUCCGGAAUUAUUGGGCGUAAAGAGCUCGUAGGCGGUUUGUCGCGUCUGCUGUGAAAACCCGAGGCUCAACCUCGGGCCUGCAGUGGGUACGGGCAGACUAGAGUGCGGUAGGGGAGAAUGGAAUUCCUGGUGUAGCGGUGGAAUGCGCAGAUAUCAGGAGGAACACCGAUGGCGAAGGCAGUUCUCUGGGCCGUAACUGACGCUGAAGGAGCGAAGCGUGGGGAGCGAACAGGAUUAGAUACCCUGGUAGUCCACGCCGUAAACGUUGGGCGCUAGAUGUGGGGACCAUUCCACGGUUUCCGUGUCGCAGCUAACGCAUUAAGCGCCCCGCCU
Molecule: ribosomal RNA, 509 nt
Filed under: uncultured bacterium
Lineage: Bacteria
Description: partial 16S ribosomal RNA
Rfam family: Bacterial small subunit ribosomal RNA
Source: RNAcentral